RNAcentral lists this transfer RNA (70 nucleotides) under Dinogunellus grigorjewi. RNAcentral describes it as "tRNA-Pro". It matches the Rfam family "tRNA". Rfam says of the family: Transfer RNA (tRNA) molecules are approximately 80 nucleotides in length. Their secondary structure includes four short double-helical elements and three loops (D, anti-codon, and T loops). Lineage: Eukaryota; Metazoa; Chordata; Actinopteri; Perciformes; Stichaeidae. The record is from RNAcentral.
CAAAGAAUAGUUUAGCUUAGAAUCCUAGCUUUGGGAGUUAGGGGUGGGAGUUAAAAUCUCCUUCCUUUGA